UGGACCAUAAGUUAAGAUUUAAACUAUCAAACUUCAAAUUUGAAACUAUCCUGAAUGGAUUGGUCUAA
This 68-nucleotide transfer RNA is filed under the name Magallana ariakensis (Suminoe oyster). RNAcentral describes it as "tRNA-Trp". Lineage: Eukaryota; Metazoa; Mollusca; Bivalvia; Ostreida; Ostreidae. The record is from RNAcentral.